GGUUCCAUGGUGUAAUGGUUAGCACUCUGGUCUCUGAAUCCAGUGAUGCAAGUUCAAGUCUUGGUGGAACCU
Molecule: non-coding RNA, 72 nt
Organism: Nerophis lumbriciformis (worm pipefish)
Lineage: Eukaryota; Metazoa; Chordata; Actinopteri; Syngnathiformes; Syngnathidae
Source: the annotation of a RefSeq genome assembly